GCUAUUUUAUUUUCGUGUUAAUGGUGAAUUGAGGGAGAUGCAUUGGAAGAUUAAACCGUGGACUGGUGGAAUAGUUCUAACUUGAUGAUAUUACUCGCUGAAAUUUUGGUUUUCUAUAAAAUUUGGGAUAUGGGUUUCUUUAAUCGGACUUUACUUGUUUGGGAUCCGAGUUUACUGAUUUAUAGUUCAGAACCUCAGCGAUCAACCAGUUGAAACUGCUUUUGCUUGGUAAAUUUGAAUUUCUUCUUCCUCUUAGAGCCAG
This 262-nucleotide unclassified non-coding RNA is filed under the name Hevea brasiliensis (rubber tree). Lineage: Eukaryota; Viridiplantae; Streptophyta; Magnoliopsida; Malpighiales; Euphorbiaceae. The record is from RNAcentral.